AGUGUGAGACGCUUUAGUUACAUGUAGAAUGCAUAUUUGUUUAUUCUUUCACUAAAAAUACAAUUUUACAGUAAAUGAUAAUAUUAAAGUUUUAAGUAAGUCAGCAUUCAGUUAAUUUAUAAAGUACUCCUAAAUGCUGUUACUAAAUACCAAGGACUUUUAUUUACAUAAAUGGAAAGGUUUAAAUUUGACACAAGAACAAUCUAGCUUGUGUGUAUUAAACAAUGAUUAGAACCAUCUCUUCUUUCCAGGAAAGAUAAAAUAAAAUAGCAUCCACCACCACCGCUAAUGGCAUUUCUCUAGCCAAACCGUCAUGAACCUGUACUA
This 327-nucleotide long non-coding RNA is filed under the name Bos taurus (domestic cattle). Its description in RNAcentral is "long non-coding RNA NONBTAT015294". The record is from RNAcentral. Lineage: Eukaryota; Metazoa; Chordata; Mammalia; Artiodactyla; Bovidae.